GUACGCCAAGCUAAGCUUGCGACUCGUCCUAUCCUACUACCUUCAGCGCAGUAAUUCCUUCUUGCCCCCGCUCGACUCGGCCGAGUCCUGCUGGCGAGCUUAUCAGGAUGUCGUCGACGAAUUCCGACCUAACUUUAAUAUUCGAUCCUCUUGCGGCUUCAACACCAGUUGGAUCUCUCAAGGCUGCAUGGACAUCACUACCAGAUCCCAAUUCGAGUCCUUGGUUCCCAAAUCCUCGCUAAGUGACGUCGUUUCCAAUUGUAACCAGUCGCUUGAGAAUAAUUCCCCCUGUGCCACUUGCACUGCCAGCUUGUCGAAGCAGCAGGCCUCGUACUUGACCGGGAAGUCCGUCGGGAACUUGUCGGAUUGUCAAGCGUAUCCGUCAAUUUAUGCGGCGGCGUUCGCUAAUAGGUAUGGUCCCACCGAUAGAGGUACAGCUAAGUGUUUGUUUUUGCUUGAUUUCGUUCCUAAGAAAUCCGGUCGCAAAAAGAAGAAGGUUUUGAUUUGGCUUAUUCCUAUUUUGGGCGUGGGAUUGUUGAUAGUAAUUGGUGGGUGUUGGUUUUGGAGGCGAAGAUAUGAGGGUUUGAGGAGAAAAAAGAAAAGAGAUAGAAUUGGUAGGGGAGUAGAGAUGAAUUUGAGUUCUGGAUUGGAGUCCAUUAGUGGAAGUACUACUCUUGUUGAAUACAAAUUUGAUGAGAUAAAAAAUUCCUAGUUGCCUUUUUU
RNAcentral lists this unclassified non-coding RNA (723 nucleotides) under Hevea brasiliensis (rubber tree). Lineage: Eukaryota; Viridiplantae; Streptophyta; Magnoliopsida; Malpighiales; Euphorbiaceae. The record is from RNAcentral.